UACGUAGGGGGCAAGCGUUAUCCGGAUUUACUGGGUGUAAAGGGAGCGUAGACGGCUGUGCAAGUCUGAAGUGAAAGGCAUGGGCUCAACCUGUGGACUGCUUUGGAAACUGUGCAGCUAGAGUGUCGGAGAGGUAAGUGGAAUUCCUAGUGUAGCGGUGAAAUGCGUAGAUAUUAGGAGGAACACCAGUGGCGAAGGCGGCUACUGGACGAUGACUGACGUUGAGGCUCGAAAGCGUGGGGAGCAAACAGGAUUAGAUACCCUGGUAGUCCACGCCGUAAACGAUGACUGCUAGGUGUCGGGUAGCAAAGCUAUUCGGUGCCGCAGCUAACGCAAUAAGCGGUCCACCUGGGGAGUACGUUCGCAAGAAUGAA
This 374-nucleotide ribosomal RNA is filed under the name uncultured bacterium. RNAcentral describes it as "bacterial SSU rRNA". It matches the Rfam family "Bacterial small subunit ribosomal RNA", at positions 524 to 898 of the family's 1533-position model. The record is from RNAcentral.